This 2952-nucleotide long non-coding RNA is filed under the name Citrus x clementina. RNAcentral describes it as "Citrus clementina (C. clementina) long non-coding RNA (CCLE_LNC002381)". Lineage: Eukaryota; Viridiplantae; Streptophyta; Magnoliopsida; Sapindales; Rutaceae. The record is from RNAcentral.
CGUGUGUGGCUGUAAUUUGCGCUCUACCUUAGAGCAGCUCCAAGAUAACCAUUGUCUUAUUUAUUAACUAAUUUUGAUAUAUAAUUGUGGUGAUUUAGUAUAUUUAUUAUAUAUAUAUAUAUAUAUAUAUGAUGGUUGGUAAUGUGCAUUUUUGACUACUCAUCAUUCAGAUUGGUUCAAAUUAAAAAAUAUAUAUAGAGGUGCUCAAAUCAUUUUAGCUUUCCUUGUAUUUCAAAUCAACAAAACAAUAAUAUUAUAAUUUUAACAACACUAAUCAGCCAGGCAAUUCCACCUGGACCCACUUUCUAUCUUAAAACAAAUCAGUAUGGAAAGGAUAAUCAUGCAAUCUAACCUAAUUAAUUCAUAAAAUAACACCAAGACAACACACAUCUUAAUCCCUUAUCAUCUUUUUAAUAUAAAUAUUCAAACAAAUAUGAAGAUAUCAUAAUCUUUCAUAAUUAAGAACACAAAAUUUCCUCUUUCAUCCUUUCUCUCUCCAUCUUUUUUUGAUAAAUAAUUAAAAAAAGCUUAAUUGGUAGUUAUGUAAAAGAUCAGUGUAACUAAGUUGUAAAUUUGUUGAAUUUCUAUAACUAACACACUCAUGCACCAUAUAUGAUCAACCUCACUUAAAAGAACAAAAAAGACAUAUUAGAGUAAUAGUUUUUUUUUUUAAGAAGAUCAAAGGAUAUAAUUUUUUUAAUCCCAAUUAAAUUUUAAUCUUCAAUAUAUAAUCUAUAAUUAGAUUUCAAUCUUUUUAGAUGAUUUCGGUUAAACAUGUAUGUAAAUUUUCUUUUACGUUUUCGUAUGUUUGCUUAACUCAAUUUUUUCUUUUUUAAGAAAAGCUCGUUUUAUGGUGAGUUUUAAUUUGGUAUUUAUUCUUUUAUUAAAUUAUCAAUUUCAUAAAGUACUUAUUAAUUAUCUCACCAUCCAAUCUAUCAGUGUUAUUUUAAUUACGUUAAAUAAUUUUAGAAUAGUACUCUAAAAGUAUAAUACUAUUCGAGUCUUCUCGACGUAGAAUAUUUGGUGUCAAUUAAUAGUUUUUUUUUUCAAGAAAAUAAGUAAAUAACAAAGACCAAGAAGGGCAUAAAUGUCAAUACGAGAAACAAUUAAUCUCCACAUUAAUACUAAUAAUGUUAGUGCCUGGCUCAAGGCAAAAUACAGUGAGUGGUCACAGUAGGGAAUUACUGUUCUUGCAUCAUACCCCCUUUGUUUGGUUCUCUCCACACAAAAAGGGGUUCUUGAUUGUGACUUUUCCAGUGCCCCCUUUCUUCUUGCUUUGAUAUUUCUAUCCCUAUUCCAACCAACCAAAUUUAAUUCAAAAUAAUUUUACAUCACAUUUCCAAACUGAUGGCAUCACAGCCCUGUCUGUGACUGUCAGAGAUUUUGAGCCCCACUUGUACGACUUUAUUGGUCUGUCUUGCUCCUAAAUUUGUGCACUCAUUGUCAAUUUAAUUUUUACCCUAAUCCUCAUUUCUUUCUGUUCCCAUUGGCUUUCCCUUCUUGAUCUCUCACUCUCAUUUAUUUACUUACCUUGCCUAACAAAGUAAAUGGUGUACAAAAGCUGCAAAUAUUUAUUUACAUGGCAGUCAAAAUUGAAAAAAAAAAUAUAUAUGGGUUUGCAUAAUUACCCUUGUAGUUUAGUACAAUUGUACUUGACCCCGAAAUUAGAAAUUUUUAUGCACAAAUGUUGGCAUUGGUUCAUUGGUUGGGUUACUUGAAUACUCUUGCUGUCAUACACUACAACUAAAUAUUCGGCAGGCUUAUAAUGAAGCAUCUACAUUUAAUGAGUUUUUCUCAAGGCAGUAGUUGGUGACUUGGUACAUCUCCACUCUGCCAAUGAAGAUAAUUUAAAUGUAAGUGAAGAACGAUUAUAUUGUCAUGUAAAUUGACAAAAGAGAAUUGUAACCAUAUUAAAUAUGACUUUAACCGAUAGCUACUAUCAAUUUUUGAUUAUAAAUGACGGUCAAUGACUGGCGAACAGUAUUAAUUGGUUUAUUUAAUUGCUUUAACCAUACCAAUUAUAGUAGAGUACUAAACAAAGUCUUCACCUACAUGGCAUUGGUUGUAUGUUGCUUUUGUCAUAAAAUUGUUGUCAUUGAUAAUGCAUUUAAUUGUGUUACACUUUUUCAAUGUUGCAACAUAUAUAACUUAAGUUAAACAUAAGUUAUGUAAAAAUAACAAAAACGUUUUGCUUGUAAUGAAAAACUUGUGAUAGGUACAAUACACAUCUAAUUUUGAUCCUUUUUAUAUGUUUUUGAAUAUUGAAAUUACAAAAUAAAUAGAGGUCUUAUAAAAAACAUUUCGCCUAAGGCCCCUCAAACUCUAAAGCCGGCCCUGGAUCUAACCAAUCCUUAAAUGCCAUGUGGCAUUACUUAAACUUAAAUUUGUUUUUUGGUUUUUCGAUUCAAAAACAAUAUGAUGGAAGCUGCCAAAAAAUGUUUGGGUGCAAGUGCAAUUAUCAAAGAGACAUGGACACAUGGGGUGAGAGAGUAAGAAUAGCUUGGCAACAAUCCAAAAGUGUACGGUUGAAAAUUUAUGAAACUGCUACAGUUUUUUUCACUGCAGGUGCAGAUGUUAUAUGUGGAAACACAAACCACUGUCUGAUUCUCUCAGUCUGCUGAGGGCAGUCACACAGCCUCACAGAUAUGGAUAUCACAGCAAUUUUCUUUUUAAAUUUUAGCUUAAAUAAAGAUUGUUAGAAUUUUUCAACAAUAUCCAAUUCAAAAUUGUCAAUUGUUAAAUCUAUAAUGAGAAAUGUAGAGUUAUGCACAAAAUAAAACCAUUGAGAUAAAUUUUAAUACAUUAAACCCAAAUUUCUAAAGAAAAAGCUAUUACAUUCGAGUUCUUUCUAGUAGAUAUUACAUGUUGAAUCAACUAAUAAUCUCGAAAUAUCAAAAAUACCCCUUCAGACUGGGAUUAAAAAAAAUUAAAAGAAUAUAUUUUAUUUUAAGA